RNAcentral lists this small RNA (19 nucleotides) under Arabidopsis thaliana (thale cress). RNAcentral's name for it is "ATSL297110". Lineage: Eukaryota; Viridiplantae; Streptophyta; Magnoliopsida; Brassicales; Brassicaceae. The record is from RNAcentral.
AAAAAAAAAUGAAAAAAAU